RNAcentral lists this transfer RNA (70 nucleotides) under Leiocephalus personatus (Haitian curlytail lizard). Its description in RNAcentral is "tRNA-Gly". Lineage: Eukaryota; Metazoa; Chordata; Lepidosauria; Squamata; Leiocephalidae. The record is from RNAcentral.
AUUCUUCUAGUAUUAACUAGUACAAGUGAUUUCCACUCACUAAGUCUUAAUAACAGCUUAAGGAAGAGUA